UAGGGAAUCUUCCACAAUGGGCGAAAGCCUGAUGGAGCAACGCCGCGUGAGUGAUGAAGGCCUUCGGGUUGUAAAACUCUGUCAUUCGGGACGAACCGGAGUCUGAGGAAAUGCAGACUCUCUGACGGUACCGGAGGAGGAAGCCCCGGCUAACUACGUGCCAGCAGCCGCGGUAAUACGUAGGGGGCAAGCGUUGUCCGGAUUCACUGGGCGUAAAGCGCGCGCAGGCGGUGAUGUAAGUCUGAGGUGAAAACCCGAAGCUCAACUUCGGGACUGCCUUGGAUACUGCGUCACUUGAGGAUAGGAGAGGCAAGGGGAAUUCCACGUGUAGCGGUGAAAUGCGUAGAGAUGUGGAGGAACACCUGUGGCGAAGGCGCCUUGCUGGCCUAUUUCUGACGCUGAGGCGCGAAAGCGGGGGGAGCAAACAGG
RNAcentral lists this ribosomal RNA (429 nucleotides) under Actinomycetes bacterium. Its description in RNAcentral is "Actinobacteria bacterium partial 16S ribosomal RNA". It matches the Rfam family "Bacterial small subunit ribosomal RNA", at positions 355 to 776 of the family's 1533-position model. Lineage: Bacteria; Bacillati; Actinomycetota; Actinomycetes. The record is from RNAcentral.